This 249-nucleotide long non-coding RNA is filed under the name Mytilus galloprovincialis (Mediterranean mussel). The record is from RNAcentral. Lineage: Eukaryota; Metazoa; Mollusca; Bivalvia; Mytilida; Mytilidae.
GGGACGACAUCAAAAGAUCAAUGUAAGAUAAAAAACUUAAUUCAAAUAGUUUGGGGGUGGGGGGGGGGGGGGGGGGGGUUGAACUGCUGCUAGAUGUGGUUAUCCGACAUUGAUUUUUACAUAUAUCUAUAUGGGUCAAUCAAUUUUUCCCAAAUUAAGUUAAGAGGGGGGUGUGGGGGUCAGUGAAAAAACUAUGUGAAUUAAGUUUUUUAUCCUUCAUUGAACUUUUGAUGUCGUCCCUUAAUAUUU